This 495-nucleotide ribosomal RNA is filed under the name uncultured bacterium. RNAcentral describes it as "partial 16S ribosomal RNA". It matches the Rfam family "Bacterial small subunit ribosomal RNA", at positions 28 to 507 of the family's 1533-position model. The record is from RNAcentral.
GACGAACGCUGGCGGCGUGCCUAAUACAUGCAAGUAGAACGCUGAAGGAGGAGCUUGCUUCUCUGGAUGAGUUGCGCACGGGUGAGUAACGCGUAGGUAACCUGCCUGGUAGCGGGGGAUAACUAUUGGAAACGAUAGCUAAUACCGCAUACUAGCAGUUAUUGCAUGAUAACUGUUUGAAAGGUGCAAUUGCACCACUACCAGAUGGACCUGCGUUGUAUUUGCUAGUGGGGGGGGUAACGGCUCACCAAGGCGACGAUACAUAGCCGACCUGGGAGGGGGAGCGGCCACACUGGGACUGGGACACGGCCCAGACUCCGACGGGAGGCAGCAGUAGGGAAGCUUCGGCAAUGGACGGAAGUCUGACCGAGCAACGCCGCGGGAGUGAAGAAGGUUUUCGGAUCGUAAAGCUCUGUUGUAAGAGAAGAACGAGUGUGAGGGUGGAAAGUUCACACUGUGACGGUAUCUUACCAGAAAGGGACGGCUAACUACGUG